CUGCUCAGUAACACGUAGUUAACCUAACCUAUGGACGGGGAUAACCUCGGGAAACUGAGAAUAAUCCCCGAUAGAUCACGGUGCCUGGAAUGGCCCGUGGUCCAAAUGAUUUAUCGCCGUAGGAUGGGACUGCGGCCUAUCAGCUAGUUGGUGAGGUAAUGGCCCACCAAGGCUAUAACAGGUACGGGCUCUGAGAGGAGGGGCCCGGAGAUGGGUACUGAGACACGGACCCAGGCCCUAUGGGGCGCAGCAGGCGAGAAACCUUUGCAAUGUGCGAAAGCACGACAAGGUUAAUCCGAGUGUCUCCUGCUAAAGGAGUCUUUUGCCGGUCAUAGAACCACCGGUGAAUAAGGGGUGGGCAAGUUCUGGUGUCAGCCGCCGCGGUAAAACCAGCACCUCGAGUGGUCAGGAGGUUUAUUGGGCCUAAAGCAUCCGUAGCCGGCUGCUCAAGUUUUCGGUUAAAUCUAUGCGCUCAACGUAUAGGCCGCCGAAAAUACUGGGCAGCUAGGGAGUGGGAGAGGUACACGGUACUCAAUAGGAAGGGGUAAAAUCCUUUGAUCUAUUGAUGACCACCUGUGGCGAAGGCGGUGUACCAGAACACGUUCGACGGUGAGGGAUGAAAGCUGGGGGAGCAAACCGGAUUAGAUACCCGGGUAGUCCCAGCUGUAAACGAUGCAGACUCGGUGAUGCAUUGGCUUGUGGCCAAUGCAGUGCCGCAGGGAAGCCGUUAAGUCUGCCGCCUGGGAAGUACGUACGCAAGUAUGAAACUUAAAGGAAUUGGCGGGGGAGCACCACAAGGGGUGAAGCCUGCGGUUCAAUUGGAGUCAACGCCAGAAAUCUUACCUGGGGCGACAGCAGAAUGAAGGUCAAGCUGAAGACUUUACCA
This 886-nucleotide ribosomal RNA is filed under the name uncultured archaeon. Its description in RNAcentral is "bacterial SSU rRNA". It matches the Rfam family "Archaeal small subunit ribosomal RNA", at positions 86 to 973 of the family's 1478-position model. The record is from RNAcentral.